RNAcentral lists this ribosomal RNA (537 nucleotides) under uncultured bacterium. Its description in RNAcentral is "partial 16S ribosomal RNA". It matches the Rfam family "Bacterial small subunit ribosomal RNA", at positions 355 to 874 of the family's 1533-position model. The record is from RNAcentral.
UGGGGAAUCUUCCGCAAUGGACGAAAGUCUGACGGAGCAACGCCGCGUGAGUGAAGAAGGUUUUCGGAUCGUAAAACUCUGUCUUUUGGGGCGAACGUGAGUAUGGCAAAUAAUCAUAGUCAGUGACGGUACCAAAGGAGGAAGCCACGGCUAACUACGUGCCAGCAGCCGCGGUAAUACGUAGGUGGCAAGCGUUGUCCGGAAUUAUUGGGCGUAAAAGAGCGCGUAGGCGGGAUAGUCAGUCUGUUGUAAAAGUGCGGGGCUCAACCCCGUGAUCGCAAUGGAAACAGCUAUUCUUGAGUGCAGGAGAGGAAAGUGGAAUUCCCAGUGUAGCGGUGAAAUGCGUAGAUAUUGGGAGGAACACCAGUGGCGAAGGCGACUUUCUGGACUGUGUCUGACGCUGAGGCGCGAAAAGCCAGGGGGAGCGAACGGGAUUAGAUACCCCCGGUAGUCCCUGGGCCGUAAAACGAUGGGUACUAGGUGUGGGGGGUAUCGACCCCUUCCGUGCCGGAGUUAACGCAAUAAGUACCCCCGCCU